RNAcentral lists this transfer RNA (76 nucleotides) under Eggerthellaceae bacterium. RNAcentral's name for it is "tRNA-Lys". It matches the Rfam family "tRNA". Rfam says of the family: Transfer RNA (tRNA) molecules are approximately 80 nucleotides in length. Their secondary structure includes four short double-helical elements and three loops (D, anti-codon, and T loops). The record is from RNAcentral. RNAcentral also lists the same sequence under 3 other names. Lineage: Bacteria; Bacillati; Actinomycetota; Coriobacteriia; Eggerthellales; Eggerthellaceae.
GGGCCGUUAGCUCAGUCGGUAGAGCAGGGGACUUUUAAUCCCAAGGUCGCGGGUUCGAUUCCCUCACGGCCCACCA